This 253-nucleotide ribosomal RNA is filed under the name uncultured bacterium. Its description in RNAcentral is "partial 16S ribosomal RNA". It matches the Rfam family "Bacterial small subunit ribosomal RNA", at positions 524 to 776 of the family's 1533-position model. The record is from RNAcentral.
UACGGGGGGGGCAAGCGUUGUUCGGAAUUACUGGGCGUAAAGGGCUCGUAGGCGGCCAACUAAGUCGGACGUGAAAUCCCCAGGCUCAACCUGGGAACUGCGUCCGAUACUGGAUGGCUUGAAUCCGGGAGAGGGAUGCAGAAUUCCAGGUGUAGCGGUGAAAUGCGUAGAUAUCUGGAGGAACACCGGUGGCGAAGGCGGCAUCCUGGACCGAUACUGACGCUGAGGAGCGAAAGCCAGGGGAGCAAACGGG